GACGAACGCUGGCGGCGUGCUUAACACAUGCAAGUCGAGCGGUAAGGCCCUUUCGGGGGUACACGAGCGGCGAACGGGUGAGUAACACGUGGGUGACCUGCCCUCAGCUCUGGGAUAAGCCUGGGAAACUGGGUCUAAUACUGGAUAUGACUCCACGGUGCAUGUCGUGGGGUGGAAAGCCUUGUGCGGCUGAGGAUGGGCCCGCGGCCUAUCAGCUUGUUGGUGGGGUGAUGGCCUACCAAGGCGACGACGGGUAGCCGGCCUGAGAGGGCGACCGGCCACACUGGGACUGAGACACGGCUCAGACUCCUACGGGAGGCAGCAGUGGGGAAUCUUGCGCAAUGGGCGAAAGCCUGACGCAGCGACGCCGCGUGAGGGAUGACGGCCU
This 388-nucleotide ribosomal RNA is filed under the name uncultured bacterium. RNAcentral describes it as "bacterial SSU rRNA". It matches the Rfam family "Bacterial small subunit ribosomal RNA", at positions 28 to 417 of the family's 1533-position model. The record is from RNAcentral.